Molecule: long non-coding RNA, 1034 nt
Organism: Herpailurus yagouaroundi (jaguarundi)
Lineage: Eukaryota; Metazoa; Chordata; Mammalia; Carnivora; Felidae
Exons: 2
Source: RefSeq, a predicted model, not a curated record
UGACAAUCCAGGUUCUAAUUCUGAUGGUUUAAUCCAACUGGAAGAGAAUCUUUGGCCUGUCAAUGACAAAAUGGUUUAUAAAGAAGAAAAAAUAAAUACCAUAUACAAGUUAUCAUUAUAUUUUUCAUCUUUGAUCUCCCGCUCUUCCUUCCGGAUCCUCACAGCAUGGUAUCGGGGAACGCUGUCAUCGUACCUAGAGCGUUUAAAGAAUCCGCACUGACGAAGGGGAAAGAGAAACAGAAACAAACUAAGUAUCUCAAGAAAAGCAAAUGCACAAAAUGGGAAUGUCUAAGCUUUCUGUUCAGCUACGCCUACCUUUGGAUGAAGGGGAAAAAAUAAACAUGGUUUCUUUUAAGAAGGAACUAGUAGGUCCAAAAGACAUACCAGCAGUGGGGAUAAACAGAAGACAGCUGUAACAUUGGAAGAAAAGUCCGUUUUUCCAUUGUGUCUCUACUAACAAGAGUUAUGGAAAAAUGCUUCCAUUUUUUACAAUCACGAUAUUAGAUGUUAAAGAUCUAAUUUUCAGGUUAAAAAGAUUGGUCUUUAAAAAUGAUAUUCUAAUAAAGGCCAUAAACCAAAGAUUAUUCAUACCCCAUUCCCACUAACAAAAUGGAAUCAGAUCACAAAUAUUUUACAAAUUACUAUUUAAAUAUGCCAGUGUUCAAAUGAGCCAAUUUAAGAAUCUUCUCUCCUCCAAGGCUCAGCACAUAUCUCUCAUUAGCUACCAGGCAAUUUACACUGCCUGCAUUUCCUGUUGUGCUUAUAAAUUAAGCUGUUUCAUUAAUAAAUCAUGUAGUAACUGUGUCCUGUAAUAAAAUCAAUUGUGUACCACAAAGACAGUAGCACUACAUUGAAUUUCCGAGCACCCCUGAUUUUUUUGGCAAAGGAAAUUUAACACUUAAAUUAUUAAUGAAUAUAUAUUUUAUUCAUUUUUUAAAAAAUCUAAUCGAAAGUAGAUUUUUAUUGAGAACAUAUUAGGAAGUUUUUUACUCAAACUGAAUUUUUAAAAUGAAUAAAAUGUACAUUUAAUGAAA